GUGAAGAUAAUGACGGUAGCAGUAGAAGAAACCCCGGCUAACUCCGUGCCAGCAGCCGCGGUAAUACGGAGGGGGUUACCGUUGUUCGGAAUUACUGGGCGUAAAGCGUACGUAGGCGGAUUAAUAAGUUAGAAGUGAAAUCCCAGGGGUCAACCCUGGAACUGCCUUUAAAACUGUUAGUCUUGAGAUCGAGAGAGGUGAGUGGAAUUCCAAGUGUAGAGGUGAAAUUCGUAGAUAUUUGGAGGAACACCAAUGGCGAAGGCGGCUCACUGGCUCGAUACUGACGCUGAGGUACGAAACUGUGGGGAGCAAACAGGAUUAGAUACCCUGGUAAGUCCACACCGUAAACGAUGAAUGCCAGACGUCAGCAACAUCUUGUUGGUGUCACACCUAACGGAUUAAGCAUUCCGCCUGGGGUGUACGGU
This 425-nucleotide ribosomal RNA is filed under the name uncultured Alphaproteobacteria bacterium. RNAcentral describes it as "bacterial SSU rRNA". It matches the Rfam family "Bacterial small subunit ribosomal RNA", at positions 460 to 886 of the family's 1533-position model. Lineage: Bacteria; Pseudomonadati; Pseudomonadota; Alphaproteobacteria. The record is from RNAcentral.